RNAcentral lists this ribosomal RNA (447 nucleotides) under uncultured bacterium. RNAcentral describes it as "bacterial SSU rRNA". It matches the Rfam family "Bacterial small subunit ribosomal RNA", at positions 29 to 524 of the family's 1533-position model. The record is from RNAcentral.
AACGAACGCUGGCGGCAGGCUUAACACAUGCAAGUCGAACGCCCCGCAAGGGGAGUGGCAGACGGGUGAGUAACACGUGGGAACGUGCCCUUCGCUUCGGGAUAGCCUCGGGAAACUGGGAGUAAUACCGAAUACGCCGUAUUGGGAAAGAUAUAUCGGCGAAGGAUCGGCCCGCGUUGGAUUAGCUAGUUGGCGGUGUAAUGGACCACCAAGGCUACGAUCCAUAGCUGGUCUGAGAGGACGACCAGCCACACUGGGACUGAGACACGGCCCAGACUCCUACGGGAGGCAGCAGUGGGGAAUCUUGGACAAUGGGCGCAAGCCUGAUCCAGCCAUGCCGCGUGAGUGAAGAAGGCCUUAGGGUUGUAAAGCUCUUUUGUCCGGGAAGAUAAUGACUGUACCGGAAGAAUAAGCCCCGGCUAACUUCGUGCCAGCAGCCGCGGUAAU